This 317-nucleotide long non-coding RNA is filed under the name Ananas comosus (pineapple). RNAcentral's name for it is "long non-coding RNA (ACOM_LNC004925)". The record is from RNAcentral. Lineage: Eukaryota; Viridiplantae; Streptophyta; Magnoliopsida; Poales; Bromeliaceae.
UUAUAAUGGAUGUUAUAUUAUAAGUAGUAAUACUAGUAAAGCCCUGCCACUACAACAAAAUUGAGUUUUAGUGGCGAUUAUUUUUUAAAUUUUCGGAAUUAUAAUUGCCGCUAAAUAAUUCCGCUAAAUGAUUCCGUGGCAAUUAUGAUAAUUGCCGCUAUUGGUAGGAUCGGUAAAAGUUAUAGUGACAUUUGUCCUGGUUGUUGGUAAAAGUCUAAAUAAAUACUGUAUAAUAACAACUAUUAUAAAUGGCACUAUAAUUAACUACGUACUAGUGUAAUUGUCAGAUUAAGUGCCACUAAAUUUUCGCUUACAGG